Molecule: long non-coding RNA, 508 nt
Organism: Fukomys damarensis (Damara mole-rat)
Lineage: Eukaryota; Metazoa; Chordata; Mammalia; Rodentia; Bathyergidae
Exons: 3
Source: RefSeq, a predicted model, not a curated record
UAGUUCCAGCUCUCAGAGUCUCUAGUUCUCGGAUGCUGAGAAGAUGAAGGCAGGAGUAGUGUUACCUGUCACAUUUAUUUCCGAUGCAGUGCCUCAGAAAUACUGCUGUUAAGCCUGUGCCUGAAAAGAUGAAGACCCAAUGGUAUUGUGGAUAGAAUUCAAGGCCUUGGGACUUGCUAAAUUGCUCACGCUGGACUGCAAGCUAAGAUCCUCCUGCCCCAACUUUCCAGAGUGCUGAGAUUCCAGAUGUGCGCCACUGCUCCCAAGUCCCUACUUUGCCUUCUGCCUGGGAGUAGGAAGGCACGUGAGACACCUGAGAUUCUGUGUCACUGGUAAAACUACAGCCAUAUAGAUGAACAGAACAGAAAAAAGUCUAGAAAGAGCCGCAUAGACAUGGGCAACUGAUUUCCAACAAAGGUGGCGUGGUACUUCAAUGGGGAAAGGAUAGCUUUUUUCAAGAAAUGACACUGAGCAGUUCUACAUCAAUAUGCUAAAAUAAACAAUAAAA